Non-coding RNA from Equus caballus (horse), 3491 nucleotides. The record is from RefSeq and is a predicted model, not a curated record. NCBI's taxonomy places the organism in Eukaryota, Metazoa, Chordata, Mammalia, Perissodactyla, Equidae.
GUGACUGCGCGUGUGAGUGUGCGUGCGCGUGGCGCCGGCGCCCGGGGCUGCGGUGCAGGCGCCGCCGGGAGCCGGCCGCCCGGGGUCCCAGGGCAGCGGCGCGCUCGGCGUUCGGAGCGGAUGAGCCACCCGGCCCCCAGGAGCCCGCGGGGCUGGGGAGGUGCCCGCGGGCAGAGCGCUGGGGGCGCGGCUGUGCCGGACCCGCUGCCGCUGGAGGAGGAACUAACAAUACCUCAAUACACACUGCCCAGAGAUGAGAAAUCCAGCUCAGAGACAUUUUAAAGGGGCUGAAAUGCCUCCGCUCAAGGGGUCCAGGAGUGCGCUCAGGAAGACGCACGCACAAAGCCACCUUAUGCAUCAUUUGAAGAUUCAAUGGGAGCUAGUGCGGGGAGCGGUGGAGCCGCGCAGCGCGAUUGUGAGGGGCUCUGCUGGAAUUUGGCAGCGCGGAGGCUUGGAGAGCAGCCCCAUGCUGGCUCCUAUUCAGCGGGCCAGUUUUCCUCGAGCUUUGGAAGUUUCACUCAGCCGUGCACUCAAUGGCUUCACAAAGCUGAUUACAAGCUUCAGCGCAUUCCUGAAGGAGCCAAAAGCGACGCAGGUGCAAACGAGCCGAGGGAGCCCCUUAUCCCGGUGACAGAAUGGGACAAGCUGGGAAAGGCUUGGACCACACAAAUCCAAGCUCACCAGGCAGCAGAAAGCCUGCCUUGGGAACCGGGGGUCAUUAUCCGCCCUAUUCAGCGGGGCCCGGGGACCCUGGGGGCCAGGGAGGCCGGCCGGGCGGGAGCUGCCGCGCCAGCGCGCGCCCGCGGCGGUGGGGACCCCGCAGGGCCCUGCGGCCGGCCCGGGGCGCUGGGUGGCGGGUUGUGCGUUUGCUCUGGCAGCGCCAGUGAAACCCGUGCCCCGACGGGCCCCUGUCAACACCAGUAGGGACAUGGGAGAAAGAGCGCGCAGGAGGCAACCGGGUGCCUGGACCGUGCGCAACGUUUGUUCAUCCAGCAUCCCUGCCCCUGCCCACGCUGGCGCUCCGGGUCCCCGCCGGGCCCCUGGGCCACCGACACGCAGCUCCGAGGGUCGCUCUGUCCCCUCUUUCCCCCAGCCCCCCUUUCCUGUCCGUCUCGUGGUAACUGGGUCGGUGGAGAGCCAGCCCGACGCGGUGCGAUGGGAGGACAGCGACCGUGCGCGGGGAGUAGGGGCGGCGGGUCUCGGGACCGCCCCGGCGAAGCGCACUCGGCUGGGGCCGAGGACACCUUUGCGGCGAGUCUGAUUCCGCGACGGGAAGGAGGGUCGGGCCUCUGCCAGGGAGUGAAUGACGUCCCCUGCUCGCGUUGAAGGACCGACAACCCCGGGCUGAGGGCGGUGAAGAGAGAAGGCAGCGCCGCGGGGAGCGCGCGGGAAAGGAAGGUCGAGGCCCGGGAGGGGAUCUCGGCGUAGGAGGCACGCCAGGCGGAGGGAGCUGGCACGCGGGGGAGGGAGCGCGGGGGGCGGAGCUGGUGCGCGGGCUGCCCCCGGGACCCUCCUGUGGCGCGUGGGGAGCCCCGCGCCGCGUCCAGACAAGCGCAGCGCUCGAGUCCCUGCGUGGGGUCGGCGCCCGGGCUCCCCUCCUGCGCGCCGUCCCACCCUGUGCUCCCUGGGCCUGGGCCCUGCCCGCCGCGCGCUGGGCCGGGCUGCGUCCGGGGGUCCCCGCGGCAGGGCGCGGGCAGGGCGCGGGCCGGCAGGGCGCGCACGCCGACGGUCUUUUGUCUGAUAACUAAUUUGAGUUAAUGCGAUCUUUAUGUAAAGCUAACAGCGGAUAAUUGUCUAUUUUCUCGCCAACAAUCUCCAUCACAAUCACUUAUCUGGAAACCUGCGGCUGGAUUAAUCGUUAUAUUCCCGAGAUAAGCGUCGCCGCAAUCCGCAGCGAAUAAGGCACUCCGUCUCCACUCUCCUCUCCCUACUUCGUCCGUGGGCUGGAAAUUUUUCCCAGGAGAAGGCAGUCAACACGGAGACGGGCACCAGGCCGGUUCCUAGCCCGGAGCUGAGAAUUAAGCGUCGAGGUUGAAGGCUGCAGAAGGCCGAGGUCUCCCCAGGGCCCCGUGGACUCUCCGGUUCGCCCCGAGGUCUCCCCAGCAAGCUCCCAGGCCUCCACCAUGUGCCUCGCAGCCUCUGGAGGUGCUUUAGUUUUACCUUGGUUUCUUGACAAACUAAGGGAUCAGGAUUUGGAAGGAGAACGGAGCCAGAUAUUGUUUUCGUAAGCACAGCAAGCAGAACAGGGAAAUAAACAGAGAAAAGGCCCUAUAGGGUGUCUUGUUCGGUUGGGGUAAAGAUGGAGGCCUCCGUCUCAAUCCAGGAAAAGCCGUAGGCAGGCUCUUUACAAAUAUGGACACCUUUGGGGGAAUUGAACUAGAAUACCUUUUUUCUCCCCAGAAAAUUGUAUGAUUUAGGCCUGGACCCUGGGUUGCUCUUGAAGUCUCUGCAAGUCUUGCACCCGGGCCUGGCCUUGGGGAAGAGAGCCUCUCCAGGGCCCGCCCAGCGCCCUGUGCGCCCUGAGCCAGCCAUGGCUGGGGAGGCGUACUGUGGAGGUCCUGGUUAUGGUGGGUGGGCACACAGGACAAUGUCAGCUCCAGGGAGACGGCGUUGUUGCCAGGUGGCUCACCAUGUCUCUCCAGGGUGUAGACAGCUCCUGGUUCAUUGUAGGUGUCCAACAUAUGUUUGCUGAAAGGCUGAAAAGGCCCUUGCCACGGUGGAGCUGCUGGCCUGGCAGAGUGGACCACAGCAGGGCCAGCGCCCUGGGGGCUGGGGAGGGGGUCCUGAGCUUGCCUCCCUCCCCUUCUCACACACGUUCAAUCUUACGCUCGCCGUGCAUGUUCUUACACACACACGAUUCACGUGCUAUGCACUCAUGCACACUCACACAAAUACCCAGAGUCUCUAACACACACAGACGCAUGUAUGCAGAGACAUACACACAUCCACUGUCACACGUGAGUGACACGCAGUCACACACACACCAUUCCCCUGGGGGCCCGCAGUCACAGGCUGGCUGAGUGCUGGCGGCGGCUUGUGCCUGGCUCCUCGGGAGGAGAAGUCAAAUAGGUCAGAGGAAUAUUCUCUUAGGUACACACACGUGGGUGAGGGAUCCAGUCCUCCUGGGAAUUCAACAAAUGCAGCAAAAAAGUGACAUCAGUGCAGCACAGGGCGGUUACUUCUGAGCUCUUUCUUCUGAGCGUCAGAGCCAGGUCACUGUCCCAGCUUGCUAGAGUGGGUCGAGUUAUCACUUUGUUCCCAACGCUUCCAAGUUGCUACUUUCUCCCAGUGUAAUUUCCUUGGCUGCCCAUGUAGACCUCUGUUAUACAAUAUGAUAGCCACUAGCCACACGUGGCUACUGAGCACUUACAGUGUGACCAGGUGUGCUGUGACUGUGCAAGACACGCCCGAUUAUAAGGUGUGGUAUGGGGGCUGGCCCGGGAGCACAGCAGUUAAGUUCGCACGUUCCGCUUUGGGCCCUGACCUGUUCG